This is a long non-coding RNA of Myxocyprinus asiaticus (Chinese sucker), 626 nucleotides long. RefSeq lists it as uncharacterized. The transcript is spliced from 3 exons. The record is from RefSeq and is a predicted model, not a curated record. Lineage: Eukaryota; Metazoa; Chordata; Actinopteri; Cypriniformes; Catostomidae.
CACAACAAAUGACCACAGCAGUGCAUCACCUGUGAGAUCAUGAGAAGGCUGAAGAACCAAGAGUGACAAGAUAUCACCGGAUGGUGGGGUACAGAAUUAAACCCAGGGAAAGAUCAAGCAUUGGAACAAGGUUUACGGGGGAGAACAGACACCCAACAGAGAGACAAGUCCAUCACUAAUGCACCAAGGAUCCAGCUGAUUACUGGCAAUUUGAGGAGGAUUGUUCUUUAUUUGCUAUGUUGGACUGUCACUUCUGGUACAGAUUCAUUGAUUUUUUUGUGUUAUGUUUUGAUUUGACUUAUUAAUACACUGUAUAGUUAGGAUUCUGAAUUAAAAGACAGUGUAUUGUUUGUCCACAUAUAUUAAAACUAUAUGGAGCCCCCAGGGGUCAGGAAAAUUUUGUGGAAAACAACAUAAAACUGAAUUGGAAAAUAAAAGCUAAAAAAAACAACAGACCACAACCCCCUCAGCUCAACAGCACAAUUUGUUUCUUUCUCCACCCGUUUCAAAGGUGAAAUUAUGACCUCAUCAUGAUUGUAACCCUAAUAGACAAGAUAGACACAAAGAAAUGACAUUUUUAGUUUUUCAAUUCCUCCUGGGGGGCUCAGAAGAACGGUUUGUGAGUA